AAACAAUCUCAAGCUGGGAAAGGCUACUACUGCUAACAGCGCUGGAAAAAGUCUCUUCUAAAGUAUUCUUUACCAUGUUGAUACUAAAAGGAGGAGUCAAAAGGAGGCAAAAGAAACAAGAAAAGUUUGUUGCAGACAAAAGGCAAGGCUAUUCUGUACAUUCUGGAAACAACUGAGAAUACUGGUAGCCGAAAAGAUUGAAGUUCAGGCUGCUCAGAAUCAGAAGUGAAG
This 231-nucleotide long non-coding RNA is filed under the name Struthio camelus australis. RNAcentral describes it as "lncRNA (ENSSCUG00000018002.1)". The record is from RNAcentral. Lineage: Eukaryota; Metazoa; Chordata; Aves; Struthioniformes; Struthionidae.